This 259-nucleotide ribosomal RNA is filed under the name uncultured bacterium. Its description in RNAcentral is "partial 16S ribosomal RNA". It matches the Rfam family "Bacterial small subunit ribosomal RNA", at positions 96 to 353 of the family's 1533-position model. The record is from RNAcentral.
UGGCGGACGGGUGAGUAACGCGUGGGUAACCUACCCUGUACAGGGGGAUAACAGUCAGAAAUGACUGCUAAUACCGCAUAAGACCACAGCACCGCAUGGUGCAGGGGUAAAAACUCCGGUGGUACAGGAUGGACCCGCGUCUGAUUAGCUGGUUGGUGAGGUAACGGCUCACCAAGGCGACGAUCAGUAGCCGGCUUGAGAGAGUGAACGGCCACAUUGGGACUGAGACACGGCCCAAACUCCUACGGGAGGCAGCAUG